This 515-nucleotide ribosomal RNA is filed under the name fungal sp. Its description in RNAcentral is "eukaryotic LSU rRNA". Lineage: Eukaryota; Fungi. The record is from RNAcentral.
AGCCGACCCCCCCUCAAUCUUUAACCAGGUUGACCUCGGAUCAGGUAGGGAUACCCGCUGAACUUAAGCAUAUCAAUAAGCGGAGGAAAAGAAACCAACCGGGAUUGCCCUAGUAACGGCGAGUGAAGCGGCAAGAGCUCAAAUUUGAAAGCUGGCCCCUGCGGGGUCCGCAUUGUAAUUUGCAGAGGAUGCUUCGGGAGCGGUCCCCAUCUAAGUGCCCUGGAACGGRMMRUCAUAGAGGGUGAGAAUCCCGUAUGGGAUGGGGUGCCCGCGCCCGUGUGAAGCUCCUUCGACGAGUCGAGUUGUUUGGGAAUGCAGCUCUAAUUGGGUGGUAAAUUUCAUCUAAAGCUAAAUAUUGGCCGGAGACCGAUAGCGCACAAGUAGAGUGAUCGAAAGAUGAAAAGCACUUUGAAAAGAGAGUUAAACAGCACGUGAAAUUGUUGAAAGGGAAGCGCUUGCGAUCAGACUCGCUCCCGGGGUUCAGCCGGCAUUCGUGCCGGUGUACUUCCCCGGGG